GGGCCUCAGUGGUAGAGAUCUGCUUUGGAUGCAGAUGUUCCCAGGUUGAAUUCCUGGCAUCUCCA
This 65-nucleotide transfer RNA is filed under the name Sphaerodactylus townsendi. Its description in RNAcentral is "tRNA-Pro". It matches the Rfam family "tRNA". From Rfam's summary of the family: Transfer RNA (tRNA) molecules are approximately 80 nucleotides in length. Lineage: Eukaryota; Metazoa; Chordata; Lepidosauria; Squamata; Sphaerodactylidae. The record is from RNAcentral.